RNAcentral lists this unclassified non-coding RNA (222 nucleotides) under Candidatus Phytoplasma citri. RNAcentral's name for it is "Candidatus Phytoplasma aurantifolia 16S-23S ribosomal RNA intergenic spacer". The stretch from base 77 to 150 matches the Rfam family "tRNA". The record is from RNAcentral. Lineage: Bacteria; Bacillati; Mycoplasmatota; Mollicutes; Acholeplasmatales; Acholeplasmataceae.
AAGGAAACCAAUAAAAUCAAUCAUCUUCAGUUUUGAAAGACUUAGGAUAACUAGUUUUUCUUCGUGACUUCACGAAGGGCCUAUAGCUCAGUUGGUUAGAGCACACGCCUGAUAAGCGUGAGGUCGGUGGUUCAAGUCCAUUUAGGCCCACCAGAGUUAUAGGUGUCGUAAGAACACAAAUUCUUUGAAAAUUAGGUAAAUAAUAGUUAUUUUUCCGGAACA